AUAAUGACGACGACGACGACGACAACAACGACAAUGACGAGAACAACGAUAAGAACGAUAACAACGACAAUGACAACAACGACAUUAACGACAACAACGACAACAACAAAAACAACAACAACAACUACAACAACAAAGAAGAAGACGACGACGAGGACAACAACAAUAGCAACAACAACAACAACAACAACAACAACAACAACAACAACA
RNAcentral lists this long non-coding RNA (210 nucleotides) under Hordeum vulgare. RNAcentral's name for it is "long non-coding RNA (HVUL_LNC021580)". The record is from RNAcentral. Lineage: Eukaryota; Viridiplantae; Streptophyta; Magnoliopsida; Poales; Poaceae.